UACGGGGGGGGCAAGCGUUGUUCGGAAUUACUGGGCGUAAAGGGCGCGUCGGCGGAUGAGCAAGUCUGUGGUGAAAUCCCCCGGCUUAACCGGGGAACUGCCGUGGAUACUGCACAUCUCGAGGAAGAUAGGGGCGUCUGGAACUAGCGGUGGAGCGGUGAAAUGCGUUGAUAUCGCUAGGAACUCCGGUGGCGAAGGCGAGACGCUGGAUCUUUUCUGACGCUGAGGCGCGAAAGCCAGGGGAGCGAACGGG
Molecule: ribosomal RNA, 253 nt
Filed under: uncultured bacterium
Lineage: Bacteria
Description: partial 16S ribosomal RNA
Rfam family: Bacterial small subunit ribosomal RNA
Source: RNAcentral